Long non-coding RNA from Salvia splendens (bonfire salvia), 976 nucleotides. RefSeq lists it as uncharacterized. The transcript is spliced from 6 exons. NCBI's taxonomy places the organism in Eukaryota, Viridiplantae, Streptophyta, Magnoliopsida, Lamiales, Lamiaceae. The record is from RefSeq and is a predicted model, not a curated record.
UUUGCUCCUCUUUAAAUUAUUCUACUAUGUCAUCCAAUUUUGAACUAUUCUCACAACAUCAACAUUUAUUUAGAAAUUUCAGUUUAAUUGAUCACUUCUUCGAAUUCUUCAAGCAGCCUCAAAAUUUGCACUCUUCUCCUCCUUGUAGUGUGGUACUACCCUGUGAUUAUCCUUCUUACAGGAAACAUGGCAAUUGCUGAGGUGGCAAUCGAGUCGAACUAAAUAUUAAUAUUCUCGUAUUCAAUUUUACGCUUGUUGAGACGAGCCCCGGGCUUAUCUAGCUAACGAGCUUUUAUCGAGUCGAGAUCUGAAUAGCUUGUUGCAUCUUUUCUAUAGCCUCAAUAUUAAUGGUUGGGAAUUGAUGAUAUCUCUCGGGUUCAUGGCUGCAGCAAGUGUUCGGAUAUCGAACGAGCUCGGGGCAGGGAACUCGAAAGCUGCAAAAUUCUCGAUCGCGACGAUUGUGAUCACGUCUUUAAGCAUAGGAUUAGUGUUGUUUGUUGUGUUUCUGGUGUUUAGGCGGCGCGUGGCGUACCUAUUCACCGAUAGCGAGGAGGUCGCUGCGGUGGUGGAUCACAUGGGACCGUUGUUGGCCUUCUCCAUACUCCUCAACAGUGUCCAACCGGCUCUUUCCGGUGUUGCAAUAAGAUCCGGAUGCAGGGUACGGUUGCGUGGGUGAACCUGACUACAUAUUAUAUUAUUGGGCUUCCCGUUGGAAUCGUGCUUCUAUACUUCCUCGAUUGGGGAGUUGAAGGCAUUUGGAUCAGGACGAUGAUAGUCGUGCUCAUUCAGUCUCUCGUACUAGUUUGGAUUACUUAUGGAAUAAAUUGGGAGAAACAGGUGGAGAUUGCUCACGGAAGAGUAAACAGAUGGCUUGUGAAAGAUGAACAAAAUUAAUAGUGUGGGAUUACAGAUUCCAGGCCUUGAUGAAUGGUUCUUAAUAAUUUAAAUUUCAAACAAUUAAAUUGGAGAUGGUGGA